AAGAGUCCCAGUCACCAGGCCACCCUCUCAGUCUGGGGCCCUCGAGGGAGCCCAGAAUCCCAAGUGGCUGGAGCACUGGGGGAUACCCAGACAGAGCCCUCGUUGGACCAGGUCCUCCGGGAGCGGGAUGAAGCCAUUGCCAAGAAGCGGGCAGUGGAGGCUGAGCUGGACAUAUUCAAAGCCAAGUUGCGAGCUGUGGAGGCCCAGCUGCUGGAAGUUCUGGAGGAG
Molecule: long non-coding RNA, 228 nt
Organism: Balaenoptera ricei (Rice's whale)
Lineage: Eukaryota; Metazoa; Chordata; Mammalia; Artiodactyla; Balaenopteridae
Exons: 3
Source: RefSeq, a predicted model, not a curated record